GUUUUGGGAGUCGGGUUGGUGGGGUAAUUCGGCUGGACUUGGUUGUCAGGGGCCGGCGGCAGCGGCCACAGAAACCAACCCCAUCUUGCUUACCCUUCUGUCGACAGUUUAUUACUUCAUCACUGAGUCGGCAUUGAUGCAAACUGCUGCCUUGGAAUCGAUCCUGAAGGCGCCGGAUUUGCCAAGAUUGGAUUCAAUAAAUCCCUUUAUUAUGAUUUCAGUUUGGGUUGGGUCCGGUCUAGCUAGGUUCAACUUUCAUGAUGAGUACCAGAGUUUGUAUAGAGAGGAAAAAAAAUAGCUUAUCUAUAUGCGGAAGGCAAGACAGCAUACAUCCGAUCAUUCCUAGACCCUAAAUUGGCGGAAGUCUCUGGACCGCCUUUUUAAUCUGAGUAUGAAUUAGAUUAAAGUUAAUGUUGUGUUAGAUCAUGGUACAUGCAGUACAUAUGAUCGUUCAACUUGUGGAGAUGUCAAAACCUUUUUGAUACACAUGAGAAGGAAGGAUGGCUCUAAAUCCAUCAAGUAAAUAGAAAUA
This is a non-coding RNA of Phoenix dactylifera (date palm), 532 nucleotides long. Lineage: Eukaryota; Viridiplantae; Streptophyta; Magnoliopsida; Arecales; Arecaceae. The record is from RefSeq and is a predicted model, not a curated record.